RNAcentral lists this ribosomal RNA (460 nucleotides) under uncultured bacterium. RNAcentral describes it as "partial 16S ribosomal RNA". It matches the Rfam family "Bacterial small subunit ribosomal RNA", at positions 338 to 795 of the family's 1533-position model. The record is from RNAcentral.
CCUACGGGUGGCAGCAGUGAGGAAUAUUGGUCAAUGGACGAGAGUCUGAACCAGCCAAGUAGCGUGAAGGAUGACUGCCCUAUGGGUUGUAAACUUCUUUUAUAUGGGAAUAAAACGUUCCACGUGUGGGAUUUUGUAUGUACCAUAUGAAUAAGGAUCGGCUAACUCCGUGCCAGCAGCCGCGGUAAUACGGAGGAUCCGAGCGUUAUCCGGAUUUAUUGGGUUUAAAGGGAGCGUAGGUGGAUUGUUAAGUCAGUUGUGAAAGUUUGCGGCUCAACCGUAAAAUUGCAGCUGAAACUGGCAGUCUUGAGUACAGUAGAGGUGGGCGGAAUUCGUGGUGUAGCGGUGAAAUGCUUAGAUAUCACGAAGAACUCCGAUUGCGAAGGCAGUUCACUGGACUGCAACUGACACUGAGGCUCGAAAGUGUGGGUAUCAAACAGGAUUAGAUACCCUUGUAGUC